GUGACUUUCUGAGGCAUGACUUACUCAAUACUUCAUCCUUUAACCUAAAUUGUGCAGUACUGUAUCACUAAGAAGAAUCAGUACUUGUUCUACUCGCUCAAUAUAUGCAAAAUCUAUGAAUGCGUCAAGAAUGCCAGACUUACAAUCCAUAGUGUCUAAACCCUUUCACUUUCUGUGAGUGGAUGGACAGAGUCACGCUCUAUUGAAGAAUUUAAAAAUAGUACCUGAGCCACACAGGGUUCUGCAAUAGCACAGCAUGAGUAGAGCCUACAAUUGAAUGUAUAAAGAAAAAGGGGCUGUACUAGCAUUCUAAAAAGACAGGAGCAGCCAUGCAAUAUACAAUAUCUUGUUUGGCCUGGGUUUUUACAAUUACUUUGCCAAGUGUCAUACAGUAGCUGUGUAUUGCAGUGUGCAGAACCCCUCCCUGAUAUCCAGCAAAUAAUGCAUGUGCCUACCUACUCAGACAUGAAGGAGUGGAGUAAUAAAGUAGAACUGGCAUCUGAAAACCCAAUUAAGUACUCGGGUAAGACAGGAAGCACUAUAAAAAGUUAGAAGAUUUUACAUCAGUGAUAUUAUCCUGACCUGCAAACUCUGAAAAUCAAAUGGUAAUAAGCAAGCUACGCUAUCCGAGACUGACAUGCCAGUUUUGUUAAAAUUCAUGAGCGAAGCAACAUUCAAUAGUGCUUCGAUUGGAUGGGAGACUUCCAUGGAAUGACUGGAUGCUCCAGGCAGGGAGCAGGAGUAAUUAGCCAUUGGAACACUUUACCAAUGGUCAUGGUGGAUCCUCUAAUCACACACAAUUUUUAAAUCAAGACUGGAUCUCUGUAAAAGAUGUAAGGUGUGGAAGAUAGUCCAUACAGUGCACCAUCUGACUCAUAAUGAGAGCUAUGACCACAGCCCUGGAGCUGCUUCUGAUCAUCUCUGAGAAUGGUCCUGGAUAUGUGGCUAGAAUGUGUUUCUUUUACCCACUAUUAAUUCAGGCAACUGAUUAAAUUGAGAACAUUUCCUUGUGAAAUUUACAUUAUACAUGGAUCAAUUUACUUCAUAUGGCUAUAGAAUUCCUUUUCAAGCACAGGUGCACUGUCCUUAGCAUUUUCCCCAGUACAUUUAUUUCAUGGAUAUAAUAAUCAGCUCUCAUAAUAUAUUUAUUCAAUUAUGUCAUAAUUAAGUGUUUAAGACUUUGCAAUUAAUAUCGACAGAAGUGAUUCUGAUGUGAUCAACAACAGUUUAUGGCAUUCACUGAAUUAAUCAGGGAAGAAAGUCAGGCUUAUUAUAAGAAAGAAUCUAUAUUUCUGUGAAUAUUUAUAUUUAUGUUUGUUGUUAUUUCUAUAAGCAUUGAGCUCACAAAGACUGUGUUCCCAUCAUGACAUACCAUCCACCAAAUUCUGCUUUUGAUUAUUUACUGAUGUAAACUGAAAGGAACUUCUCCCAGUUUAUGCCAAUGUAACUGAAAGCAGAGUUUGGCCCAUUGCUUUCAUUUGUAGAAGACUAUCUUUUUUAAAUGCACCUGUGAUGCACACAAUAUGAUUUUUGUAUUGUCUUGCGGGAACACUGAAUUUGUAGAAGUUGUUUAGGAACCUGCCUUCUCACCUUGGCUGAUUUUGAAGCAUUAAAAGCAUAAAUUUAAAUAAUUUGAGUUUAAAUUCGAAGACACCAAAAGACUGCAUAGCCAUUGUAGUCCACACAGAGGCUGAUAUUUAUUUUAUAGGAGGUAGACAAAAUAUGGGGAGGAAAAAAAAUCAAAAUUUUGAAACAUUUUGCAAGUUGUUUCCAUUUCACAGAGUUCUAAAUGAAGAACUUUUUAAAAAACUUUUUUCCAAAGUAAAAAUAUUUCAAAUGUCAAAUUUUUGACUAUUUAUCACACAGUGCAAUAAAAGGAAUGUCCAGGUUAGGAUGAGUUUUUGUGCUUUACAUUUUCUAAAUUUCUUCAACUUUGGAAAAACUAUAGAGUGGAAAAAUGAAACUAACUCAGCCAUUCUGUAACUUUUCAAAACUUCAGUCUUAAAAAAGUUAGUUUUUUUUCUUUUUGCCUCUUAAUAACUUUUCCAAAGUUGAGGGUGUUUUGAAAAGAUAGGAGGAGGAGAAAUAAAAUACAGAAAAAAAAUCUAGACAUCUGUUAUUCUGUUGCAUUCAGGUGGUCAGGGGGGAGGUGGGAAAAUAUCUGAUAGAAAUUUUCUUGUUUUCAAAAAUUGAAAUGGAACAAAAAAAUUGUUAAAAAUAUGAUCAAAAGUGACAUUUGCCUGUGAACAAUUUUGAUUUUGAUGAAACCCUAUUUUUUGGCCAGAACAUUUUUAGGCCUUAUUCUUGUUUAAGCAGUGUGGAAAAUAUCACAUUAGAAAUUGGAUACAUUUUUUGUUUGAUAGGUAGAGGGUAAAUGCAUAUAGUUCCAAAGCAACUUGUGGUUAUUUGAAAGCAUGAUGGAC
This is a long non-coding RNA of Mauremys mutica (yellowpond turtle), 2423 nucleotides long. RefSeq lists it as uncharacterized. The transcript is spliced from 4 exons. Lineage: Eukaryota; Metazoa; Chordata; Testudines; Geoemydidae. The record is from RefSeq and is a predicted model, not a curated record.